CUAAUACAUGCAAGUAGAACGCUGAAGGAGGAGCUGCUUCUCCGGAUGAGUUGCGAACGGGUGUGUAACGCGUAGGUAACCUGCCUGGUAGCGGGGGAUAACUAUUGGAAACGAUAGCUAAUACCGCAUAACAAUGGAUGACACAUGUCAUUUAUUUGAAAGGGGCAAUUGCUCCACUACAAGAUGGACCUGCGUUGUAUUAGCUAGUAGGUGAGGUAACGGCUCACCUAGGCGACGAUACAUAGCCGACCUGAGAGGGUGAUCGGCCACACUGGGACUGAGACACGGCCCAGACUCCUACGGGAGGCAGCAGUAGGGAAUCUUCGGCAAUGGGGGCAACCCUGACCGAGCAACGCCGCGUGAGUGAAGAAGGUUUUCGGAUCGUAAAGCUCUGUUGUAAGUCAAGAACGAGUGUGAGAGUGGAAAGUUCACACUGUGACGGUAGCUUACCAGAAAGGGACGGCUAACUACGUGCCAGCAGCCGCGGUAAUACGUAGGUCCCGAGCGUUGUCCGGAUUUAUUGGGCGUAAAGCGAGCGCAGGCGGUUUGAUAAGUCUGAAGUUAAAGGCUGUGGCUCAACCAUAGUUCGCUUUGGAAACUGUCAAACUUGAGUGCAGAAGGGGAGAGUGGAAUUCCAUGUGUAGCGGUGAAAUGCGUAGAUAUAUGGAGGAACACCGGUGGCGAAAGCGGCUCUCUGGUCUGUAACUGACGCUGAGGCUCGAAAGCGCGGGGAGCGAACAGGAUUAGAUACCCUGGUAGUCCACGCCGUAAACGAUGAGUGCUAGGUGUUGGAUCCUUUCCGGGAUUCAGUGCCGCAGCUAACGCACUAAGCACU
This 835-nucleotide ribosomal RNA is filed under the name uncultured Streptococcus sp. RNAcentral's name for it is "bacterial SSU rRNA". It matches the Rfam family "Bacterial small subunit ribosomal RNA", at positions 48 to 868 of the family's 1533-position model. The record is from RNAcentral. Lineage: Bacteria; Bacillati; Bacillota; Bacilli; Lactobacillales; Streptococcaceae.